Molecule: ribosomal RNA, 425 nt
Filed under: uncultured bacterium
Lineage: Bacteria
Description: partial 16S ribosomal RNA
Rfam family: Bacterial small subunit ribosomal RNA
Source: RNAcentral
GUGGGGAAUCUUGCGCAAUGGGCGAAAGCCUGACGCAGCCAUGCCGCGUGAAUGAUGAAGGUCUUAGGAUUGUAAAAUUCUUUCACCGGGGACGAUAAUGACGGUACCCGGAGAAGAAGCUCCGGCUAACUUCGUGCCAGCAGCCGCGGUAAUACGAAGGGGGCUAGCGUUGCUCGGAAUUACUGGGCGUAAAGGGCGCGUAGGCGGACAGCUUAGUCAGAGGUGAAAGCCCAGGGCUCAACCUUGGAAUUGCCUUUGAUACUGGCUGUCUUGAGUUUGGGAGAGGUGAGUGGAACUCCGAGUGUAGAGGUGAAAUUCGUAGAUAUUCGGAAGAACACCAGUGGCGAAGGCGACUCCCUGGCCCAAUACUGACGCUGAGGCGCGAAAGCGUGGGGAGCAAACAGGAUUAGAAACCCUGGUAGUCC